UGGGGAAUCUUCCGCAAUGGACGAAAGUCUGACGGAGCAACGCCGCGUGAGUGAAGACGGCCUUCGGGUUGUAAAGCUCUGUGAUUCGGGACGAAAGGCCAUAUGUGAAUAAUAUAUGGAAAUGACGGUACCGAAAAAGCAAGCCACGGCUAACUACGUGCCAGCAGCCGCGGUAAUACGUAGGUGGCAAGCGUUGUCCGGAAUUAUUGGGCGUAAAGCGCGCGCAGGCGGUCACUUAAGUCCAUCUUAGAAGUGCGGGGCUUAACCCCGUGAUGGGAUGGAAACUGGGAGACUGGAGUAUCGGAGAGGAAAGUGGAAUUCCUAGUGUAGCGGUGAAAUGCGUAGAUAUUAGGAAGAACACCGGUGGCGAAUGCGACUUUCUGGACGAAAACUGACGCGGAGGCGCGAAAGCGUGGGGAGCAAACAGG
RNAcentral lists this ribosomal RNA (428 nucleotides) under bacterium. Its description in RNAcentral is "partial 16S ribosomal RNA". It matches the Rfam family "Bacterial small subunit ribosomal RNA", at positions 355 to 776 of the family's 1533-position model. The record is from RNAcentral.